AAGUCGUAACAAGGUUUCCGUAGGUGAACCUGUGGAAGGAUCAUUAUCAACGUUCCUAACGUAAAACCAUUGUGAACCGUUAUCACCUCGGAGGUUGUCGUGGAGUUCCUCUCAUCAAUAACAAAUGAAUGAAAAAGAGAACGUAAGUGAAUGUGAGUUCUCGUUAUUUGAUGGAACUACGGAAGCUUUUGUCAAACUUCGGAUUGACAAUUGCUUUGUAUUAACGUAGCAUGAGGACAGGGAUUCGGUCCCGACACGAGAAUCACUGGGUCAUUUCACUACUAUACAAACCCCUAUUAACCAUUGAAACCCAAACUAUAAACUUGUCUGAAAUUGAUUUCUUACUCUAUCUUUCGGGAGGAGAAGAAAUAAAAUUACGAAAAAUAAGAACAACUCUUAGCAACGGAUAUCUUGGUUCUC
RNAcentral lists this unclassified non-coding RNA (420 nucleotides) under fungal sp. RNAcentral's name for it is "partial internal transcribed spacer region". The stretch from base 1 to 46 matches the Rfam family "Eukaryotic small subunit ribosomal RNA", at positions 1786 to 1831 of the family's 1831-position model. The record is from RNAcentral. Lineage: Eukaryota; Fungi.